RNAcentral lists this ribosomal RNA (506 nucleotides) under uncultured bacterium. Its description in RNAcentral is "partial 16S ribosomal RNA". It matches the Rfam family "Bacterial small subunit ribosomal RNA", at positions 29 to 523 of the family's 1533-position model. The record is from RNAcentral.
AGUGAACGCUGGCGGUAGGCCUAACACAUGCAAGUCGAACGGCAGCACAGAGGAGCUUGCUCCUUGGGUGGCGAGUGGCGGACGGGUGAGGAAUACAUCGGAAUCUACUCUGUCGUGGGGGAUAACGUAGGGAAACCUACGCUAAUACCGCAUACGACCUACGGGUGAAAGCAGGGGACCUUCGGGCCUUGCGCGAUUGAAUGAGCCGAUGUCGGAUUAGCUAGUUGGCGGGGUAAAGGCCCACCAAGGCGACGAUCCGUAGCUGGUCUGAGGGGAUGAUCAGCCACACUGGAACUGAGACACGGUCCAGACUCCUACGGGAGGCAGCAGUGGGGAAUAUUGGACAAUGGGCGCAAGCCUGAUCCAGCCAUACCGCGUGGGUGAAGAAGGCCUUCGGGUUGUAAAGCCCUUUUGUUGGGAAAGAAAUCCAGCUGGCUAAUACCCGGUUGGGAUGACGGUACCCAAAGAAUAAGCACCGGCUAACUUCGUGCCAGCCGCCGCAGUAA